UUGACUCAAUGACAGACACCUCUUUAUGCUUUCUCAUCUGAGCUUAGACCUUCUAACCUAUUAUAAAUGUAAGUUUUUAAAAUAGAGAUGCUUCCCAUGUUAUUUAAAUGGAGUCACUUUUACUCCCUAGGGAGUUUUUCUGUUUUUUACUACCGAGAGCGAAAAAGUGACACUUUAGUAUUAUGUUUCAGGGAGUAAAGUAAGUACUUUAGCCAGUAGGUGGAGGAAAAAAUAAUUUCUGGAAACUCUUUUUAGAUAGUUGGAAAGAUAAAACGAACGUAGUUACGAUUUUUCCGCUAGGUCGCGCGCCUGUCGGUUCUUCAUACUUCCAUCAUUCAAAUCAGCCAUUGGCGCGUAUUUUGAAUGCAAAUUUGUUGUUUCUUAUUUGAUUUUCGUAAUAAUUUGUGUAAAAAAAUGGAUGUGGAUAGUGUUGAAUGUGAUUGUGGAAGUUAGACACAAUAGUAGGCAGCAGUGGUAGCUCAUAAAAUUGACUAAUAAUUGAAGAAAAACAAUAAACAUAGAAGAAAGAAGAAUAUUUGAAUUCCACUUUCACUCUCCAAAAAAGGUAAGUUAGGAAACCCUGUAAAUACUAGAUCUGAAGCAAAAUGAGUAAAACUAUAUUAUUUCAUACCUAUGUAGAGAGGAAUUAUUUUCUAACAUCAAUCACAUUAUUUUGUUAUUAUAGUCUUCAUUAUAGUACUAUUUUAUGAUUUUUUGUGAAUGAGAUAAAAUUAUUGACUCCUGGAUAACUCUGAAAUAUCACGUCUAUUGUCAUUUCCAUUAUCUUCUGAACAUUCCUGUGUGUAAUGAUUGCAAUACUCCAUUAUCAGCAAUUCAAGUGCCACAAUAUAACACUCAAAAAAAGUUGAUGAAUAAUUAUGAGACAUUUUUACCUAUAAUUACCUAUUUUUUAAAUUCAAUGGUAACUGUAGGAAAAAUUCAAUGUGAAAUACUUGAGCAAAGUUCCUUUGCUGCACUCAAGAAACCAUUAUUCCGCACUCGCCUAUGGCUCGUGCAUGAACGUUUCUUUGUUACUUUGCGCACUAGUUGCACAAAUAACUAUUUACAGCACAAAAGAGCACAAAUUGAGCACUAAAUCCCUAGAUAUGUUGAUUUAUUUGUGCUGUUUUGUUGAUUGAUUUGUGCCAUUGUGGUUGGUGCAAGUGUGAAGCCAGCCCUACCCACUUUAAAAGUCCAAUAUCUUCUUCAAAUUGAUAGCACAAAAUAAACUUUUUACACCACAAAACAGCACAAAUUGAGCACUAGAUCCCUAGAUAUGUUGAUUUAUUUGUGCUGUUCUGUGAAUUGAUUUGUGCCAUUGUGGGUGUUGCAAGCGUGAAGCCAGCCCUACCCACUUUAAACGUACAGCACAAAACAGCACAAAUUGAGCACUAAAUCCUUAGAUAUGUUGAUUUAUUUGUGCUGUUUUGUGAAUUGAUUUGUGCCAUUGUGGGUGGUGCAAGCAUGAAGCCAGCCCUACCCACUUUAAAAGUCCAAUAUCUUCUUUAAAAUGAUAGCAGAAAAUAAACUUUUUAGAGCACAAAUCAGCACAAAUUGAGCACUAAAUCCCUAGAUCUGUUGAUUUAUUUGUGCUGUUUUGUGAAUUGAUUUGUACCAUUUUGAGUGGUGCAAGCGUGAAGCCAGCCCGCCCACUUUCAAAGUAUCUUCUUUAAAUUGAUAGCACAAAUAAACAUUUUUGCAGCACAAAAAAGCACAAAUUGAGCACUAAGUCCUUAGAUAUGUUAAUAAUUUGUGCUGUUUUGUGAAUUGAUUUGUGCCCACUUCCAAAGUUGAAUAUCUUCUUAAAAUUGAUAGCACAAAUAAAACUUUUUGCAGCACAAAGCAGCACAAAUUGGGCACUAAAACGCCUAGAUAUGACAAUUAAUUAUUUGUGCCGUUCUGGGUGGUGCUAGCAAGAAGCCAGCCCUACCCACUUUCAAAGUCCAAUAUCUUCUUUAAAUCGACAGCACAAAAUAAACUUCUAACAGCACAAAACAGCAUAAAUUGAGCACUAAAUGUUCAGAUAUGCAAUUUGAUUUGUGCCGUUUUGGGUAGGGCCAGCUUCACGGGGGUCGUCUCAGCCACACAUACACACACUCAGGUUACAACCAAGAUUUAUCUAGUUACUCUUGCUAAAACUCAUUUCGAUUUUGACUUCUCAUAAUAAUAAUUAUAACCUUACUUUCUUCAUAGUAUAAACAUUACAAGAAAUAAACUCAACAGAAAACAUUUUUCUCUACUAUUUUCAAUUUUGACCCUCAAAUUGCUCAAAUUAUACAUCGUAUUUUUAUGUGUUUCCAUUUAAUCUUGUUGAAUAUGACUUAGAUUAACAAACAAAUCUACUCAAACUAGGCUCAAUCCAGUGUUUAUAGAUAAUAUGGAAGUUAUUUAUAUAAUUGGUAGCAUGAAAAUGAUUUAUAAUAAUCUGGAAGUGAACUACUAGCUUUAAAUGCGUUUUUGAACCAUAGCCAACUUAUUAUAACAUUGAAUAAAGUAUUCUAACCUCAUUUACAUUUACAACGGAUAAGUCAUCCAAUAAUUUCAAUUAGAAUAAUAUAAAGUCAUGCUAGCUAUUUUUCCUAUUCGUUAUUAAUUCUCAUAAAAUAUGCCUUUAAUUUCCUUUUAGCUUCACCUUCCCUCUCCAAUUUUCUUAAUUCUAUGGGGAGAGAGUUCAAUAAAUCGGGUAUUCUAUUAUGAGAUAAAGCAUAUGAGGACAGUGGGGAGCGCUAAUAUUGGCCAAUGUGUCAAUAAUAUCUUGAGAAGAUUAAUGAUUGAUGAGCUGGCCAUGAAAUUCUCAUAUACUGGCCGUGCAUCAAACGGGAACACAAAAACUCCAUUUCAUGGGAGUGAGAUAUCGAAAUGCAUACUGAUUGCUGUUCAAACGUUGUUUGGUGACAUUGCAACUGAAGUGAAAUAUGGAUCGUUGGCGUCAAAAUGGCUUCAACAAGCCAGAACAAGAGUGUUGAGAAGGACCAAAAGCAGAGAGACUAUGCCUCAUGAAGCUCAAAUCGAGGACGAUAGCAGUUCAAAGUAAAAAUAUAUAAUUAGUUAUAAAUUGAAAGUUCAAUUUUUGUAAUAAUUAAUAAAAAUCAUUGCAUUUUAUUGAAAA
This 3109-nucleotide unclassified non-coding RNA is filed under the name Nilaparvata lugens (brown planthopper). RNAcentral's name for it is "uncharacterized LOC120353051, transcript variant X1". Lineage: Eukaryota; Metazoa; Arthropoda; Insecta; Hemiptera; Delphacidae. The record is from RNAcentral.